UGCAGAAAGGGUGCUCAAUCACAGAUGGA
RNAcentral lists this non-coding RNA (29 nucleotides) under Homo sapiens (human). Lineage: Eukaryota; Metazoa; Chordata; Mammalia; Primates; Hominidae. The record is from RNAcentral.